RNAcentral lists this ribosomal RNA (432 nucleotides) under uncultured bacterium. RNAcentral describes it as "partial 16S ribosomal RNA". It matches the Rfam family "Bacterial small subunit ribosomal RNA", at positions 338 to 795 of the family's 1533-position model. The record is from RNAcentral.
CCUACGGGGGGCAGCAGUGGGGAAUAUUGGACAAUGGGGGAAACCCUGAUCCAGCCAUGCCGCGUGUGUGAUGAAGGCCUUCGGGUUGUAAAGCACUUUCGCACGUGAGGCGGUAACGUGAGAAGAAGCCCCGGCUAACUUCGUGCCAGCAGCCGCGGUAAUACGAAGGGGGCAAGCGUUGUUCGGAAUUACUGGGCGUAAAGGGCGCGUAGGCGGUGCACUAAGUCAGGCGUGAAAGCCCUGGGCUCAACCCGGGAACUGCGCUUGAUACUGGUGCGCUUGAAUCCAGGAGAGGUUGGUGGAAUUCCCAGUGUAGAGGUGAAAUUCGUAGAGAUUGGGAAGAACACCGGUGGCGAAGGCGGCCAACUGGACUGGAUUGACGCUGAGGCGCGAAAGCGUGGGGAGCAAACAGGAUUAGAUACCCUUGUAGUC